Long non-coding RNA from Felis catus (domestic cat), 5668 nucleotides. RefSeq lists it as uncharacterized. The transcript is spliced from 5 exons. NCBI's taxonomy places the organism in Eukaryota, Metazoa, Chordata, Mammalia, Carnivora, Felidae. The record is from RefSeq and is a predicted model, not a curated record.
UGACUAAGAUUACCUAAGGCUUAUCAAAGGAAGACGUCACUGGAACUUCAUUGGAAAGAACCUUAUCAAGCCUUGCUAAGUGUUCAAAUGGAUGACAGGUGCAGAGGCUUUCAGUCUUAGAUCCUGUGUUCUUACUGUAAGAAAACGUUCUCCACCCAUUUGACAAUUUCUUGCUGCGGUCUCUAUUUUUCUUUUUCUCUUAAACACAGGGACCAAUGCCUUGCUUGUCACUUGAGAUCCAGGGAGGUAUGACAGCUUCCAGGAAAUUCCUGCUUCUGAAAAGAAACCUAGUUUAGAAUGAAAUUGGGAGACAGCAGAGGGAACUUCCAAGCCCCACCCCUCCUUGUCAAUUGCAGACCCAACAGGUGGAUACUUCUUUACUAUUCCCGCAGGAGGAAUAAAGUUCCACCCACCUACACCACCCCCGCCCACAACCGCGCAGCCAAUGAGAGACAGUCACAACUCAGCCAAUGAAGAGCCACUAUAUUUCGAACUCCUAGUUUACGCCAAUGGACUUUUGUUUAUAAUAGCCUGCUCGGCACACUCCCCCCUUUCCUCAAUAAAAGUCCAAGUGUUCUCUGGAAAGGCGGUAUAUACAAAAUGACCUUAAAAGGUGGGAUGCUGAAGAAAAAGGCUCACAAGUGCAGCUUGACGGGAAAUGGCUUAUUAAAGGGACUUACGGACAGAAGUGUGUCUUGCGGAGGGGCAAAACUAGUAGAUCUCUGCAGUCCCAUCUCUGGCACCUUGUAAGGCCCCUUUUGAAGGUAGAUGUGGCCCGUGGCUUCACUUGAUCUGCGUACUGGGGCAGAAGUGAUGAGGUGUAGGGAUGCAGCCACCUCUCCGCGCUCCCCAUUCCCGGCCCCGUCACCGUGAGCAUGUUCUGUGAUGGGGCCUUCAGCAUCCUGCUUCGUUGAGUGACGAUGAGCAGAGCCCCAUUGUGGCCCGAGUAUGAACAAGAAAUAAGUUGAGCACCCUUUCAGAGCAAAAUUUGCUUGAAACUUGCUGGCUACUCAGUUCCUCUGCAGCGCAGAUCCACUUCAGGCUGGGCCCUGUCAUCUCAACAACAUUCACUGGAGCCCUGAUUCACGCCGGGCAUUAAUGACAGAUGGGAUGGGGAGACAAAGUCUCUGUCACUAAAGAGAUCACCAGACUAUAAACAAAUGAUUAUCAAAGAGAUGGCGGGUGUAUGGCUAAGGAACAUUUUGUCCCAUGAGAUAUGAAGGGAGAGUAGCUGCCUGGAAGAUGUGGGCCCAGGACUGGAAAACAUUAUCCAUACUGUUUGGCACAAGGUUGGGAUCAAAAGGUGAACUGUUACAUCUAACGCUCAUAUUACCUACAAGUUGAACAAGGACUACAAAGGCUCAUGAGACAGGAAUGCUGGCACAUCUUUUCUGUGCGAAUGAUUCUCAACCUCCAUCCUAGGAUCCGGAACUCCAGACUUGCAUUCAUAUCUCCAUCGUGCACACUUUCAGUCUCAGGUUCCAUGGAAAAUUUCUCAAGGGUGUGAUCAUUUGCUUUAUGCAAUUGGCCUCAUGAUUUAGUGCAUCUAAAGAAAAUCCUUUACCUUUUUUUUUCUUUUUGGAAGAUAGCAGCCACAUCCCUAAGCAAGGCAAGCAAGUCAAGGAACUCUUCACAUUCUGGUGUUUUCCAUUUCUUCUCGUAUGGAGCUUUUAUUUACUAACAAAAUCUUACUACCAUCUUUGAAUCUGUGGUCAAAUUUUCCACUGUGAUCUGACCCAUCUUGGACGAAUCUGGAGCACCACAGAGCCCAGGAACGUGGAGGGGCCCUCAGACCAGGACCGAGUAUUCAUGGGAAGAUGGAGACCUGAGAUGAGCCAUGACCCAGAGUAGCCAUUACAGCAUGUCCAUGGUGAGUCACAUCUAUCUUGAAGGGGAGCAUGCACAGGGUUUCCUUCUAAGAAGAUAAAUGGUACCAAAAGUUGGAGUCCUUUCAUAUUUUUUUCUUUUAGUGCUCAUACACAAUAAUCUAUUAACUUCUGGUUCAAGAUAGAAAACAUGAAUUUGUCUUUUCCCACCUAAAAACCCAUUACAUGACAGGGAAAAAAAAAGAUACAAACGAGAAAAUGAGGGGGAUAUCAGUGUAACAGGAAUAUCAACACAUUUCUGAGAGAAAGGAAGUGGAUGGAGAAGUAGUUCUGAUAAUGCAGGGUGCAGGAAGUUGCACCCUGGAAUGUGCUAGAGGACUGAGAGACAGAGUUGGGUAGAGUCAGAACCCAAGAGAACCAUAAGGCUUGGAAACACCAGGAAUGGCCAUUGGAAGAAAGAUGACUUGGGCUUGAAAACUGGGAAAUAGAUGGCAGUUCUAUAAGUAGAACAUUGGACCCUGCUUACAUGCUCUCCCACCCCAUCCCCACAUCAAAACCCCAGCUAGCAGGCAUCUGCCUCUCAAGCGACUGUUUAGAAUGUAUUUCCAAUAUCUGUACUCUGGGCAGCUGAUUUCUGGAUCAGCCUGGAGUCAAGCUCUCCAAUAAACAAGCCCAGCACAUAUUCACAGAGCCCCAAUCAGGUCUUUGUGGCUCAUUCCUAAAAGCAAAUAAGUAUUACCAGAUAUUUGAAAGCCUGUAAGAUGAAAGUGCUAAAAGAAGAAGCUGCAGUAAUGAAAAGAAUCACCAGGGGGCACCUGAGUGGCUCAAUCGGUUAAGCGUCCGACUUUGGCUCAGGUCACGAUCUCACGGUUUGUGGGUUUGAGCCCCGCGUCAGGCUCUGUGCUGACACCUGUCUGUCCCUGCCCUGCUCACGCUCUCCCUCUCCUUCAAAAAUAAGUAAAAAAAUAAAUAAAUAAAAAAAAAGAACCACCAGGAAGCAAGAAUGAGCUCUGGAAUUAAAUAUAUAAUUGGUCAAAUAAUUCAAUAAAAGAAUAGUAAGAUAAAGAUGGAAGAUAUGAGAGGAUUUGCAACACUCGAGUAAUAGAAAUUCCCAAUGGGUCAGACAGAGGGUGGAUGAUUAUAAGAGUGGUAAGAGACUUGGCCAGAGCUGAAGGACACUAGUUGCCAGACGAAAAGAAUCCACCAAGUUCCAAACACGUGAAUGAUAAAUCUGUGUGAAAUUUCAAAACUCCAUGAAUAAAGAGAAGAUUCUAAAAGAUUUCAAAGAUGGAAGGGAGAGAGGGGACUUCCAAAUUAGACCUGAAAACCAGACUCACGUGGGAUUGCUCAUCUGUAGUCGUAGGUACUGGAAGACCACAGAAGAAUAAAACCUUUCGAGUUCUGAUGGGAAGUGUUAUCAGUCUUUUACUUUUAUAUCCUGUGAAGUGCAAGGGCAGACUAAAAACAUUUUCAGACAAACAAGUAACAAGGACUUUUAUCUCCAGCAUAGUCCCGAUGAGGAAAUUCCUGAGGAUGUACUCAAAUAAGACCAGUGAGUAAAUCAACAAAUCAACAGACUUGGAAUUCAAGCCAGGAGGGAAGUGAAAGGACAAGAACUCUGCAGCUAGGACAGGCUGGAGCAGGAGGAUGGGGGAUUACAGGAGGAGGGGGCUGCAGAAAGUACGGAUUCCAGGGAUUUGCUAUCCUUGAGGAUUUGGAGACACUUCAGGAGAAAAGCCAUGUUUAUUUCUAGAAAACUAUUUUCUUCCAUCUCUAAAAAAAAUUGCUACAGAAUCCUUCCCUGAUGAAUCUAUUCUAUAAUUCUCUACUCAGUGUCCUUUCUAAGAGAUUUUCAGGAGCUGGCUGUUCCAGCAGAACCUACUCAGAAUUUGGGGGUGUGAGGCCUGAAACUCCCUCGCAGGCAUCUGUUGACAAGAAUUGCUAUUCACAAGGGGGGAUAGGCUUUGGAGCUGAGGAAAGUUGGUGCCUAGAGGAGAGAAAGGAAAACUACAAAGAAAGAAUUACAUGAUACUUGUUUCCUAACUAGCUCAGGGUUCCUCUUCAAUCAGCCAUUUAGUCUGGGUAGGGCUCUGCCCUCAAGUCUAAGGAAGGAACAUACACGCCAGGCUUAAGUCAAACAAUGCAUACUGUUCUCUAGUGACAACAUUGGCUAAGGGGCAGUGCGUGCCAUAAGAUGUCCGAUCACAAGGAAUUUAGGACAUUAGCUGGAAAUGUUGAGGCAAAGAUUUUCACUCUUUCCUGCCGGUCUUAAACCUGGAAUGAUGUAGUCUUAGAAGUUACUGGCUGCCAUACGACAAUAAGAGGGCAGAGAGAGCCUCUCUGUGGUUGAGACUGACACACAGUGGGGAGCAGAACCAAAAGAUGGAGAGGACUUAUGUCCUGAUGAUAUUUUAUAAGCUCCUGCUUUAAGCCACAUCAAUGGCCAACCCUGUUCUGGGACUUUUAUGAAGUCCAUAAACUCACUAUCUGUGGAAGUCUGGGUCAAGUUUCCUCUUGUAUAAAACAGAAAUAUUCUUACCUGAUAUAGACUUUAUACAUUUGCUUAUUGAUUUUCAGCUUUCUGAUUGAACAGAAUGUAUUAUGGCAACAGAAAAGGAUAUAUAAAUGCUUUUAACCUUGAAAAUAUAAAAAUGAAAAUACAGAUGAUAGAAACAGAUGGAAGAUGGAAGCAAAGGUAAAUGAAGAACAGGGGCACUGAUUUCUAUAAAUGUUGGGAUCAAGAGACAUAGUCUAUAGGUGAUGAAACAAGAAAUAAAGGUGUAAGUUAGCAUGUGAAAUUACAAAUGUCAUAGGGGUGCCUGGGUGGCUCAGUCAGUUGAGCGUCCGACUCUUAAUAUCAGCUCAGGUCGUGAUCUCAUGGUUGGUGGGAUCGAGCUCCACGUUAGGCUCUGUGCUGACAGCAUGGAGCCUGCUUGGGAUUCUCUCUCCCUCUGCCCCUCCCCCACUUGUGCACGUGCUCUCUCUCUCUCUGAAAAAGCACCAAAGAGAAGGGAAACUAUUCAGGGGAAGUAAAUAGGUUUAAAUUGUGAGACUCAGGAGAAAACUAGAGAAGUUGAAGGGAAACCUUGAGGCUUUGUCUCUAUCCUACCUUUGUGAAGUGUUUGCUCCUCUCUUUGAGCUGAAAGUUAUCCUAAGAAGGUUGGGAUUUCUUUUUCCUUUUGGAUGAUGCAAUUGCAAUGAUGCUUAUGAGUCAGGUCGUCAGGACAUGCACACUUUGGAGCCCAGGGAUGCUUAGCUGAGGGUUAAGAGAGAAAAUCAAAGUGGAGACUUGGAAAAUGGUGAGACAAAGCCAUAACUAAACCGAAUGGUUUGCUCUGACAAUUUUGUCUGUUGGCAUUGGUGGGAAAAAGGGAAAAUUAGCUGAAAAAAUGGAGGAGAAGUUGACUAAUAAUAGCUCACAUUAGAGAAAAUUAGCAAGAACUUUGGUAAAGGUAACUUGGAAACAUGAUAUAACAUACUCAUAACUCCUUACACAAUAGGGAGGUAAAAAAGCCAGAAGGAAAAGAACAUGCUUUCUAUGGCAUCAAAGUGGCCUGAGACUACUCUAGCGUUGACCUGCCUUCCUCUGGCUGAUGAGGGGCACUAGCUAGAUUUUGACCCUAAUACUUUUCCCCUGGAAGAAAGGCUAAGACUCUAGGGAAGAAACACACUGGUUCCAUCUCUCGAAGCAGGAAGCAUUUCACACUGAGCCUGUAGCAUCCUGUCAUCUACUCAAGACAACAAGGAUGCACUCAGAGAUACCUGGGCAGAACUGACAAGGUCUGAAACACCUGCUUAAAAACAGACCUGUGAGGAGAGACUGGCUGCCUCAGUUGGAAGAG